GUAGGGGGCGGCGCGUUUACAUGCAGUCGAACGAGAACCCCGGUGCUUGCAUUGGGGGGAAAGUGGCGAACGGGUGAGUAACACGUGGAUAAUCUACCUCCGGGUUGGGGAUAACAGUCCGAAAGGAUUGCUAAUACCGAAUAAGAUGGUGGCUGCAUAAGCAGCAGCCAUUAAAGGCGGGGACCGCAAGGCCUGCCCCCUGGAGUUGAGUCCGCGGCCCAUUAGCUUGUUGGCGGGGUAAUGGCCCACCAAGGCUUCGAUGGGUAGCCGGCCUGAGAGGGUGUCCGGCCACAUUGGGACUGAGAUACGGCCCAGACUCCUACGGGAGGCAGCAGUUAAGAAUCUUGCGCAAUGGGCGAAAGCCUGACGCAGCGACGCCGCGUGGACGAUGAAGGCCUUCGGGUUGUAAAGUCCGUUAAGCAGGGAAGAAUAAGCAGAAGAUAACAUCUUCUGUGAUGACGGUACCUGUCUAAAGCCCCGGCUAACUACGUGCCAGCAGCCGCGGUAAUACGUAUGGGGCUAGCGUUGUUCGGAAUUAUUGGGCAUAAAGGGCGUCUAGGCGGGAGAUUAAGUUAGGUGUGAAAGCCAGGGGCUCAACCCCUGAAUUGCACCUAAAACUGGUCUUCUUGAGUUCGGGAGAGGAGAGCGGAAUUCCCGGUGUAGCGGUGAAAUGCGUAGAUAUCGGGAAGAACACCUGUGGCGAAGGCGGCUCUCUGGCCUAGAACUGACGCUGAAGCGCGAAAGCGUGGGGAGCGAACGGGAUUAGAUACCCCGGUAGUCCACGCUGUAAACGUUGUGUACUAGGUGUUAGCGGCUUGUCCGUUAGUGCCGACGCAAAUGCAUUAAGUACACCGCCUGGGGAGUACGCUCGCAAGGGUGAAACUCAAAGAAAUUGACGGGGGCCCGCACAAGCGGUGGAGCAUGUGGUUCAAUUCGACGAUACGCGAAAAACCUUACCUGGGCUUGAACUGUGCCUGACAGGUGUAGAGAUACACUUUCCUUCGGGCAGGUACAGAGGUGCUGCAUGGCUGUCGUCAGCCUCGUGUCGUGAGAUGUGGGUUAAGUCCCGCAACGGAGCGGCAACCCUUACCCCUUGUGCUACAGGUCAGCUGAGCACCUCUAGGGGACUGCGGUGAUAACCGGAGGAAGGUGGGGGAUGACGUCAGUCAUCACGGCCCUAUGUUCAGGCUACCACGUGCUACAUUGUGUACAUGAGCUGCAAUACGGCAGGUGGAGCCAAAUCCUCAAAAAACCGGGCUCUCAACUC
RNAcentral lists this ribosomal RNA (1267 nucleotides) under uncultured bacterium. RNAcentral's name for it is "bacterial SSU rRNA". It matches the Rfam family "Bacterial small subunit ribosomal RNA", at positions 35 to 1294 of the family's 1533-position model. The record is from RNAcentral.